AGUGGGGAAUUUUGGACAAUGGGCGCAAGCCUGAUCCAGCCAUGCCGCGUGCAGGAUGAAGGCCUUCGGGUUGUAAACUGCUUUUGUACGGAACGAAAAGGUUCUUUCUAAUAAAGAGAGCUCAUGACGGUACCGUAAGAAUAAGCACCGGCUAACUACGUGCCAGCAGCCGCGGUAAUACGUAGGGUGCAAGCGUUAAUCGGAAUUACUGGGCGUAAAGCGUGCGCAGGCGGUGAUGUAAGACAGUUGUGAAAUCCCCGGGCUCAACCUGGGAACUGCAUCUGUGACUGCAUCGCUGGAGUACGGCAGAGGGGGAUGGAAUUCCGCGUGUAGCAGUGAAAUGCGUAGAUAUGCGGAGGAACACCGAUGGCGAAGGCAAUCCCCUGGGCCUGUACUGACGCUCAUGCACGAAAGCGUGGGGAGCAAA
This 427-nucleotide ribosomal RNA is filed under the name uncultured Variovorax sp. RNAcentral's name for it is "bacterial SSU rRNA". It matches the Rfam family "Bacterial small subunit ribosomal RNA", at positions 353 to 772 of the family's 1533-position model. The record is from RNAcentral. Lineage: Bacteria; Pseudomonadati; Pseudomonadota; Betaproteobacteria; Burkholderiales; Comamonadaceae.